ACAUGCAAGUCGAGCGAACGGACGAGAAGCUUGCUUCUCUGAUGUUAGCGGCGGACGGGUGAGUAACACGUGGAUAACCUACCUAUAAGACUGGGAUAACUUCGGGAAACCGGAGCUAAUACCGGAUAAUAUUUUGAACCGCAUGGUUCAAAAGUGAAAGACGGUCUUGCUGUCACUUAUAGAUGGAUCCGCGCUGCAUUAGCUAGUUGGUAAGGUAACGGCUUACCAAGGCAACGAUGCAUAGCCGACCUGAGAGGGUGAUCGGCCACACUGGAACUGAGACACGGUCCAGACUCCUACGGGAGGCAGCAGUAGGGAAUCUUCCGCAAUGGGCGAAAGCCUGACGGAGCAACGCCGCGUGAGUGAUGAAGGUCUUCGGAUCGUAAAACUCUGUUAUUAGGGAAGAACAUAUGUGUAAGUAACUGUGCACAUCUUGACGGUACCUAAUCAGAAAGCCACGGCUAACUACGUGCCAGCAGCCGCGGUAAUACGUAGGUGGCAAGCGUUAUCCGGAAUUAUUGGGCGUAAAGCGCGCGUAGGCGGUUUUUUAAGUCUGAUGUGAAAGCCCACGGCUCAACCGUGGAGGGUCAUUGGAAACUGGAAAACUUGAGUGCAGAAGAGGAAAGUGGAAUUCCAUGUGUAGCGGUGAAAUGCGCAGAGAUAUGGAGGAACACCAGUGGCGAAGGCGACUUUCUGGUCUGUAACUGACGCUGAUGUGCGAAAGCGUGGGGAUCAAACAGGAUUAGAUACCCUGGUAGUCCACGCCGUAAACGAUGAGUGCUAAGUGUUAGGGGGUUUCCGCCCCUUAGUGCUGCAGCUAACGCAUUAAGCACUCCGCCUGGGGAGUACGACCGCAAGGUUGAAACUCAAAGGAAUUGACGGGGACCCGCACAAGCGGUGGAGCAUGUGGUUUAAUUCGAAGCAACGCGAAGAACCUUACCAAAUCUUGACAUCCUUUGACAACUCUAGAGAUAGAGCCUUCCCCUUCGGGGGACAAAGUGACAGGUGGUGCAUGGUUGUCGUCAGCUCGUGUCGUGAGAUGUUGGGUUAAGUCCCGCAACGAGCGCAACCCUUAAGCUUAGUUGCCAUCAUUAAGUUGGGCACUCUAAGUUGACUGCCGGUGACAAACCGGAGGAAGGUGGGGAUGACGUCAAAUCAUCAUGCCCCUUAUGAUUUGG
Molecule: ribosomal RNA, 1178 nt
Filed under: Staphylococcus aureus
Lineage: Bacteria; Bacillati; Bacillota; Bacilli; Caryophanales; Staphylococcaceae
Description: bacterial SSU rRNA
Rfam family: Bacterial small subunit ribosomal RNA
Source: RNAcentral